RNAcentral lists this ribosomal RNA (224 nucleotides) under uncultured bacterium. RNAcentral describes it as "partial 16S ribosomal RNA". It matches the Rfam family "Bacterial small subunit ribosomal RNA", at positions 355 to 596 of the family's 1533-position model. The record is from RNAcentral.
UGGGGAAUAUUGGACAAUGGGGGCAACCCUGAUCCAGCAAUGCCGCGUGUGUGAAGAAGGUCUUCGGAUUGUAAAGCACUUUCGACGGGGACGAUGAUGACGGUACCCGUAGAAGAAGCCCCGGCUAACUUCGUGCCAGCAGCCGCGGUAAUACGAAGGGGGCUAGCGUUGCUCGGAAUGACUGGGCGUAAAGGGCGUGUAGGCGGUUUACACAGUCAGAUGUG